AGCGAACGCUGGCGGCGUGCCUAACACAUGCAAGUCGAACGUGAACGGGGGCGAACUCCUAGUAAAGUGGCGUACGGGUGAGUAACGCGUAGGUAAUCUACCCCUUACGUCUGGAAUAACCGGCCGAAAGGACUGGCUAAUACUGGAUAGAGCGACGGAAUCCGUAAUUGGGUUUCUCGGAAAGGGAGCUCGCAAGAGCCCUCGCUUUGGGAUGAGCCUGCGUCUCAUUAGGUAGUUGGUGGGGUAACGGCCACCAAGCCUUUGAUGAGUAGCUGGUCUGAGAGGAUGAUCAGCCACACUGGAACUGAAACACGGUCCAGACUCCUACGGGAGGCANCAGUGGGGAAUCUUGCGCAAUGGGCGAAAGCCUGACGC
Molecule: ribosomal RNA, 375 nt
Filed under: uncultured bacterium
Lineage: Bacteria
Description: bacterial SSU rRNA
Rfam family: Bacterial small subunit ribosomal RNA
Source: RNAcentral